This is a non-coding RNA of Delphinapterus leucas (beluga whale), 72 nucleotides long. NCBI's taxonomy places the organism in Eukaryota, Metazoa, Chordata, Mammalia, Artiodactyla, Monodontidae. The record is from the annotation of a RefSeq genome assembly.
UCCUUGGUGGUCCAGUGGUUAGGACUUGGCACUUUCACUGCCCAGGCCCAGGUUCGAUCCCUGGUCAGGGAA